This 606-nucleotide unclassified non-coding RNA is filed under the name Meyerozyma guilliermondii. Its description in RNAcentral is "sequence contains 18S rRNA gene, ITS1, 5.8S rRNA gene, ITS2, 28S rRNA gene". The stretch from base 212 to 365 matches the Rfam family "5.8S ribosomal RNA". The record is from RNAcentral. Lineage: Eukaryota; Fungi; Ascomycota; Pichiomycetes; Serinales; Debaryomycetaceae.
CGUAACAAGGUUUCCGUAGGUGAACCUGCGGAAGGAUCAUUACAGUAUUCUUUUGCCAGCGCUUAACUGCGCGGCGAAAAACCUUACACACAGUGUCUUUUUGAUACAGAACUCUUGCUUUGGUUUGGCCUAGAGAUAGGUUGGGCCAGAGGUUUAACAAAACACAAUUUAAUUAUUUUUACAGUUAGUCAAAUUUUGAAUUAAUCUUCAAAACUUUCAACAACGGAUCUCUUGGUUCUCGCAUCGAUGAAGAACGCAGCGAAAUGCGAUAAGUAAUAUGAAUUGCAGAUUUUCGUGAAUCAUCGAAUCUUUGAACGCACAUUGCGCCCUCUGGUAUUCCAGAGGGCAUGCCUGUUUGAGCGUCAUUUCUCUCUCAAACCCCCGGGUUUGGUAUUGAGUGAUACUCUUAGUCGGACUAGGCGUUUGCUUGAAAAGUAUUGGCAUGGGUAGUACUAGAUAGUGCUGUCGACCUCUCAAUGUAUUAGGUUUAUCCAACUCGUUGAAUGGUGUGGCGGGAUAUUUCUGGUAUUGUUGGCCCGGCCUUACAACAACCAAACAAGUUUGACCUCAAAUCAGGUAGGAAUACCCGCUGAACCUAAGCAUAUC